AUAAAAUUCGGGCCGUCGGUCUACCGAGCAAUAUCACACGUUCGGUGGAAGAUCUUCCCCUUUGUCGU
This 68-nucleotide microRNA precursor is filed under the name Bombyx mori (domestic silkworm). RNAcentral describes it as "mir-2774 microRNA precursor family". It matches the Rfam family "mir-2774 microRNA precursor family". Lineage: Eukaryota; Metazoa; Arthropoda; Insecta; Lepidoptera; Bombycidae. The record is from Rfam by way of RNAcentral.